GAUGAACGCUGGCGGCGUGCCUAAUACAUGCAAGUCGAGCGAACAGACGAGGAGCUUGCUCCUCUGACGUUAGCGGCGGACGGGUGAGUAACACGUGGAUAACCUACCUAUAAGACUGGGAUAACUUCGGGAAACCGGAGCUAAUACCGGAUAAUAUAUUGAACCGCAUGGUUCAAUAGUGAAAGACGGUUUUGCUGUCACUUAUAGAUGGAUCCGCGCCGCAUUAGCUAGUUGGUAAGGUAACGGCUUACCAAGGCAACGAUGCGUAGCCGACCUGAGAGGGUGAUCGGCCACACUGGAACUGAGACACGGUCCAGACUCCUACGGGAGGCAGCAGUAGGGAAUCUUCCGCAAUGGGCGAAAGCCUGACGGAGCAACGCCGCGUGAGUGAGGAAGGUCUUCGGAUCGUAAAACUCUGUUAUUAGGGAAGAGCAAAUGUGUAAGUAACUAUGCACGUCUUGACGGUACCUAAUCAGAAAGCCACGGCUAACUACGUG
Molecule: ribosomal RNA, 497 nt
Filed under: uncultured bacterium
Lineage: Bacteria
Description: partial 16S ribosomal RNA
Rfam family: Bacterial small subunit ribosomal RNA
Source: RNAcentral